Molecule: non-coding RNA, 384 nt
Organism: Pantherophis guttatus
Lineage: Eukaryota; Metazoa; Chordata; Lepidosauria; Squamata; Colubridae
Source: RefSeq, a predicted model, not a curated record
GAAUAUUUUAGAGGAUUUUAUUUCACCAUAUUUAUAGAAGUGGUGACUCAGAAAGAAAUACAGUAUACUAUUGUUAGGAAGAAUUAAGCAUCUCCAUACCAGCCUGAGGUGGCUGCGGAAAAGUCUGACCUACUGACCAUGAAAUAUUACCUGUGAAAGAAAAGAAAAGAAAAGAAAGAAAGAAAGAAAGAAAGAAAGAAAGAAAGAAAGAAGUUCAGAGGCAUACCCAGAGCACAUAAUAAUUCUAUUAUGAUGCAAUUUAUAUAAUACAUCACACACUUUUAUAUUUACCACAGUGAUUACAAUACAACUAAUGUGGAAGAUUAAACAGUCCCUUAUUUUCCCCAUCAUAUUUGAAAUUGGAAUAAAGUUCAAGUAAAAAUG